This 200-nucleotide unclassified non-coding RNA is filed under the name soil metagenome. RNAcentral's name for it is "partial contains internal transcribed spacer 2 and large subunit ribosomal RNA". The record is from RNAcentral.
UCCCGGGCGAUCUGCCCCAAAAUCAGGGUGUGGGUGUCGAACCUCCAACCGCAGUGACUAUUUCCGGUUUCGGGGUACGGCAUCGGUGCCAUGGUGUCUCGCAGAGAGACACCGCGUAUACCAGCGAUGGUACGCCGGCGGGCGCCCGUAGCGUCCCAAUUUUCGACCUCGGAUCAGGUAGGGAUACCCGCUGAACUUAA